GACGAACGCUGGCGGCGUGCUUAACACAUGCAAGUCGAACGGAAAGGCCCUGCGUUUGUUGGGUUGUCGUUUGGCGAACGGGGGAGUGACACGUGAGGAACCUGCACUUGACUGUGGGGGAACUUCAGGGAACUGGGGCUCAUACCGCGGAGGAGCUCCUGCACCAUAGUGGGGAUUGGAGAGUUUCGGCGGUUGGGGAUGUACUCGCUGCUUAUCAGCUUGUUGGGGGAGUAGUGGCUUACCAAGGCUUUGACGGGUAGCCGGCCUGAGAGGGUGACCGGCUACAUUGGGACUGAGAUACGGCCCAGACGCCUACGCGAGGCAGCAGUGGGGAAGCUUGCACAAUGGGCGGAAGCCUGAUGCAGCAACGCCGCGUGCGGGAUGACGGUCUUAGGGUUGUAAAACGAUUUCGCCUGUGACGAAGCGUGAGUGACGGUAAUGGGUACAGAAGCACCGGCUAACUACGUG
This 468-nucleotide ribosomal RNA is filed under the name uncultured bacterium. RNAcentral describes it as "partial 16S ribosomal RNA". It matches the Rfam family "Bacterial small subunit ribosomal RNA", at positions 28 to 507 of the family's 1533-position model. The record is from RNAcentral.